CGAGGCCACCGCCGCCACGCGCGGAAUGCCUUUGAAGCACAAUUUGGAACCAUUUUGCCGCCUGAGGGGCAGGGGCAGGGACCGGGGUCGGGGGAGUACUGCAGGACGAUCGUGUGACACUCUAUUUCCAGGAAAACGGUUGCUCAGGCCUCCGAUAACGUUGCAUUGGAAUGCACAAGUUAUACUCAUCCUGUUAAUUUAUAUAGCUACUGCCUUUUUCUGCUUAUUAUAUGUAUAAUUAGCUCUUGGGUUGAUAGAAUAUAAUCUGCACUGAACCUCCUUUUUAUAGGAGAACCUAAAAAAGACCUAACAUGCAUUGGGAGUAUUUUUCAGCUUUUCACGCUACACAUACAGUGGCAAAGUCAGAAAAACAAUUGACCGAUCAAAUUACUAAAUUACAUCUACAAAAAAUCUAGACUAAAAGACAAAUUGCACCCCAAACUUUAUAUCUCUGUUGAUAUUUGCACCCCAAACUGAAAAAGGUGUCUAAGUACACCCCAAACUUCACUCAUGCUGAACAAAAGACACACUUUACUGACUUAACCGGUCAAAAGUGACCGGCUAAGGCACAAAUCCACAUUUGAAGGGGUAUUUAAGACUUUUCCUUCUUUAUCUUCUCUAACUUUAUUACAGAGUGAUUUAGUAACAUAGUAAAGCUCCUCCUCUGUCUUCCUUGACUGUGUUUUUUUGUGCGUGUCCUGAAAAUGAUCCUGCUACAAGAUCAAGAACAGGACCGCUUCCAAUGCCAGGAAAACUAUAUACAAUCCAGUGCUAAUGCAAUGUCGCAUAAGGAACAAUUCGAGCAACACUUGCUCCAUUCCCUCUGAAGAUAAUUCACGCCAUAUUCAUUAGAUUUACCGGAAUUGAAAUACAGAAACAAUCUUUAUGGAAACAUUAUCCAGGAUGCAUAGCUCACACUACCUAUGUCUAAUUGGAUGCACCACAUCCCCAAUACAGCAUAACUCCUGAAAGAAUUACCCUUGCUACUUGAACAACUAACCCAAUUACAUAAAAAAACAAAAAAAUCAGGAAAUGAAUUGCCGGAUAAAUGUUCUGAUCAUUUCACUUUCAUUUUCCCCCCAAGAUUACUGAUGAAUCUCUUGAGAAUUCGAUCACUGAUACUAAAAGAAGUUCUUUUACUAUGAUUAGUUGCAGGUCAAUCUAAUGUUAAUUUGCUCAAUCAUUAAAUAAUGUGACCGACUGCAUCUCCUAGAACCAUCUCUAUACAAUCAAUUUCAGCAACAAGUUUAACAAAAGAUAAUCAAACAUGAUUACAAAGAAAAUAAUUGAAAUAGUCACUGACCCACACCUAAUUGAGAUAUGAAAAAAAAAACCCAACAUUAUCGUAUAAUUAAUCACAAGUUCCACAAAGAUCAUAAACUACAAAUUCACUAAAAACAGCAUUAUCGUUUAACAUGUUGCUUUCUAUUUGGAAUGAAAAUUGUGAGCUGAAGAAAUGCAGGCUUCGAAGAGAGAACUGAAGAGGGAGGAAAUUGACAAAUGGGAUUUUCGUAUAGAAUUUGGACAUAUAAGUACUUUUCGUUAUAUAGCUUUACGGUUACCAAUUCAAAGUAGAAAGCAACAUGUUAAAGCUUAAUUUAUGCCAUUAAUGGCGAAAAAACAUGAAUUAUCAUGUAUAUGAAAUAGGGAGGAGGCAAUUGAUGGAAUUUAUUGAAUGAUGAUUAAUUUACCUUGUCCGCUUAAAAGUGGACAAAAUUUCAUGGAAAAAUCUUCUCUGCCGAAGAUAAUCGAUUUCAACCAGUUAUGCAGUUACUUUCUCUCUCUAGUUUGAUUUGUUUCUCUCUAUCUAAAACGGGGUUUCAGAAUCCCUAAUCUCUCACUAAGGUUUUGUUCAGAAAUCACACGCGUUGACAGAAAAGGGGCAAAUCUGAGGGCGAAACUUUUACAUAUAUUGAGCAAAAAAUGGUUUAGAGAGAGAGAGAGAGUUUUAGAGAGAGAGAAUACGGAAGAAUGGU
RNAcentral lists this long non-coding RNA (1976 nucleotides) under Panax ginseng (ginseng). RNAcentral's name for it is "long non-coding RNA (PGIN_LNC017174)". The record is from RNAcentral. Lineage: Eukaryota; Viridiplantae; Streptophyta; Magnoliopsida; Apiales; Araliaceae.